RNAcentral lists this ribosomal RNA (872 nucleotides) under Bacillus subtilis subsp. subtilis. Its description in RNAcentral is "bacterial SSU rRNA". It matches the Rfam family "Bacterial small subunit ribosomal RNA", at positions 77 to 932 of the family's 1533-position model. Lineage: Bacteria; Bacillati; Bacillota; Bacilli; Caryophanales; Bacillaceae. The record is from RNAcentral.
AGCUUGCUCCCUGAUGUUAGCGGCGGACGGGUGAGUAACACGUGGGUAACCUGCCUGUAAGACUGGGAUAACUCCGGGAAACCGGGGCUAAUACCGGAUGGUUGUUUGAACCGCAUGGUUCAAACAUAAAAGGUGGCUUCGGCUACCACUUACAGAUGGACCCGCGGCGCAUUAGCUAGUUGGUGAGGUAACGGCUCACCAAGGCGACGAUGCGUAGCCGACCUGAGAGGGUGAUCGGCCACACUGGGACUGAGACACGGCCCAGACUCCUACGGGAGGCAGCAGUAGGGAAUCUUCCGCAAUGGACGAAAGUCUGACGGAGCAACGCCGCGUGAGUGAUGAAGGUUUUCGGAUCGUAAAGCUCUGUUGUUAGGGAAGAACAAGUACCGUUCGAAUAGGGCGGUACCUUGACGGUACCUAACCAGAAAGCCACGGCUAACUACGUGCCAGCAGCCGCGGUAAUACGUAGGUGGCAAGCGUUGUCCGGAAUUAUUGGGCGUAAAGGGCUCGCAGGCGGUUUCUUAAGUCUGAUGUGAAAGCCCCCGGCUCAACCGGGGAGGGUCAUUGGAAACUGGGGAACUUGAGUGCAGAAGAGGAGAGUGGAAUUCCACGUGUAGCGGUGAAAUGCGUAGAGAUGUGGAGGAACACCAGUGGCGAAGGCGACUCUCUGGUCUGUAACUGACGCUGAGGAGCGAAAGCGUGGGGAGCGAACAGGAUUAGAUACCCUGGUAGUCCACGCCGUAAACGAUGAGUGCUAAGUGUUAGGGGGUUUCCGCCCCUUAGUGCUGCAGCUAACGCAUUAAGCACUCCGCCUGGGGAGUACGGUCGCAAGACUGAAACUCAAAGGAAUUGACGGGGGCCCGCACAAGCGG